AUUGAAACACCAGCUCUCAUUUGAUCACCAAAGUUAAGCAACAUCAAGCCUGGUCAGUAUCUAGAUGGGUAACCAUUUGAGAAUACCUGGUUCUGUAAG
This is a non-coding RNA of Acanthosepion pharaonis, 99 nucleotides long. Lineage: Eukaryota; Metazoa; Mollusca; Cephalopoda; Sepiida; Sepiidae. The record is from the annotation of a GenBank genome assembly.